Molecule: long non-coding RNA, 1415 nt
Organism: Hypomesus transpacificus
Lineage: Eukaryota; Metazoa; Chordata; Actinopteri; Osmeriformes; Osmeridae
Exons: 4
Source: RefSeq, a predicted model, not a curated record
GCUCAGCCACCUGACUCCUCCUUGUUAAGUCAGUGUCAAAUUUUCCCUGUGCGUACUUGUCAUUGUAUUUCCUGUCUCCAGUGGUUGUCAGUCGUUGAAAAGAUUGCGUUAGUUCAGGAGACCAUGCUAUUUGAGCGUGAAAUAACUUCGAUAACCUGGCCGGGGAUGAAGAGACGGAACAGCUUCAGUUUCCUUGCCCCUUACAUGAACGAAGAUUCAGGGGAAAAAUUCAAGGAGCCUAGCUUGGAAGGAAAACAACAAGAUGGCAGACUUUUGCCAAAACUACCUACAGCAGACAUGACGGACGGAAUGAUCGUUAUGAAACACAUCAACUUGAUCUAAGGAUACAAGUCAGAUAUACCCCAAAACAUGGGAUGGCUGUGCGUCAACAAAGAAAACAAGGAGACAAUCUUCCCAAGACAACAAUCAAGAGUAAAGAGAAUAUACGAAAUAAAUUCACAAUUCAAACUUUCUAGUUUCCUCAAGGAUCACACUGACUCGUGCUUAGACUUGUUGCUCUUGUUGGUUAGUGGUAGCCUAUUUAAACUGUUUUAUUCUAUUUUAGUUCAUCUAAUUUUUUAUUUUAUUUUACUGUUGCUUGUUUUUUCUACAGGUACACUUGCACUUACAGAUUCAUGUUGUUUAAAUUGUAACUUGCUUAACUACAUGCUCUUAUGGUUCAGGCAGGAGGACUCAGUAUAGUAUUUACUUGAUACUUUAUUCACACGGUUCAACACAUUGUAACAAUUGAUUUGGCAUUAUGGUUCUGCUUGCGUCGGCUCCCUGCGGUGUGUCCAGACAUUUUUGAUAGGGGUGGCACCAGGGGUGGCCCGCCUCUGACUGGGCAUAUAGCCAAUCAUAUAUUGGGAUGGCCAAUCAGAUUUCAGGGGUGGCCCUGCCACCCUAGGCCACCGCCAGGACACACCCCUGUGCCGCACCCAACGGAGACACCGUCUCGACCUCCGAGCAGAGACUAGCGACGCAUUCCCCCUACAACAGGAAACACAGAACCAAGGGUGGAGGCCGGGGAGGCAAAGGCAGCAGAUAAACAGAAAGCAACCUGUGUCGCACUAGCAAAGCAGAGUGCAGCGAUAUCCUGAUUAAAUUGCUCGCCCUGCUAAGAAGGUGUGCCCUACUGCGUGAUGACGCGCUGCCAGUGACGCGCUGCUAAUGAGGCGCUAUGUCUCGCGUCCCCCUGCAUGAAUCAGCUCCGCUUGUUUUUUCCCUUUGGCACUUAUUUGUUGGUUGUUCACAAUGUGUGCUUCUUGUUUUGGCUACCCGCAAUGCUUUGGGGCUAUCUUGUUGUUAUUAUCAGUGACCUAUGCACUUUGUAAAGCUCUCUCUUGGAAGUCGCUUUGGAUAAAAGCGUGUGCUAAAUGUACUACUAGCACAAAUAAAAUUGGAUUUUGACCUUA